This 393-nucleotide ribosomal RNA is filed under the name Pareas carinatus (Keeled slug snake). Its description in RNAcentral is "partial 16S ribosomal RNA". It matches the Rfam family "Bacterial large subunit ribosomal RNA", at positions 1962 to 2573 of the family's 2925-position model. The record is from RNAcentral. Lineage: Eukaryota; Metazoa; Chordata; Lepidosauria; Squamata; Pareidae.
UAAUCAUUUGUCUAUUAAUUGUAGACCUGUAUGAAUGGCAAAAUGAAAGUCUGACUGUCUCUUGUAGUGGAUCAAUUAAACUGAUCUCCUAGUUCAAAAGCUAGAAUACCAACACAAGACCAGAAGACCCUGUGAAGCUUUAAUUAAACCAUUAAAUCCAAUAAUGAAUACUUUCGGUUGGGGCGACCUUGGAAAAAGAAAAACUUCCAAAUACAGUGAUAUUCACACCAUUAAGGCUAACAAGCCCUUAAAAGAUCCAGUAUACCUGAAAAAUGAACUAAGUUACUCCAGGGAUAACAGCGCUAUCUUCUUCAAGAGCCCAUAUCAAAAAGAAGGUUUACGACCUCGAUGUUGGAUCAGGACAUCCUGGUGGUGCAGCCGCUAUCAAGGGUU